AGGAGGAACAGCAACAGUGGUGGCGGCCAGCUCUGGAGCCCUGGAGUCAGCUCCCGCAGGAACUCCGGAGCUCUCAGUCUGCAGAGGCCUGGAUGCUCCGCGGCGGG
Molecule: microRNA precursor, 107 nt
Filed under: Canis lupus familiaris (dog)
Lineage: Eukaryota; Metazoa; Chordata; Mammalia; Carnivora; Canidae
Also listed under: 1 other name
Description: mir-8834 microRNA precursor family
Rfam family: mir-8834 microRNA precursor family
Source: Rfam by way of RNAcentral